This 113-nucleotide ribosomal RNA is filed under the name Neogale vison (American mink). Lineage: Eukaryota; Metazoa; Chordata; Mammalia; Carnivora; Mustelidae. The record is from RNAcentral.
GUCUACGGCCAUACCACCCUGAACGCGCCCGAUCUCAUCUGAUCUCGGAAGCUAAGCAGGGUCGGGCCUGGUUAGUACUUGGAUGGGAGACAAAUACAAGAAUAAUGAAAAAA